This 420-nucleotide long non-coding RNA is filed under the name Carica papaya (papaya). Its description in RNAcentral is "long non-coding RNA (CPAP_LNC013529)". Lineage: Eukaryota; Viridiplantae; Streptophyta; Magnoliopsida; Brassicales; Caricaceae. The record is from RNAcentral.
AAAAGAUAGGCUAACUGAAUAUAAUAAUUUGUUGAAAUAUGAGAGGAAGAAGUAAGACAGACUAAUGAGAAACUCAAGUUUUAAUUUAUGGUUGAUGCUAAAAGCCUUUCAAGUACAUAUUAUAUAUAGGUAGUAGUAGUACUACUACUAAUAUACUACUACUGUUACUUCUAUUACUGCUACUAUUGUUACAAUUGCUAUUGCUACUGUUACUUCUAUUACUACUAUUAUUGCUACAAUUACUACUACUGUUAUUAUUACUACUACUUCUAUUACUACUAAUAUUAUUACUACUGCUGCUGCUACUACUCUACUAAUACUGCUAUUACUACUGCAGCUAUUGUUGCUACUACUAUUAAGACUACUGCCACUACUACUGCAUUAUAUAUAACACCAUAAAAAAUCUUAUUUUAAUAGUAU